Fundulus heteroclitus (mummichog) is the source of this 5298-nucleotide RNA transcript. It is a transcript of the gene named A-kinase anchor protein 6, with no coding region annotated. The record is from RefSeq and is a predicted model, not a curated record. Lineage: Eukaryota; Metazoa; Chordata; Actinopteri; Cyprinodontiformes; Fundulidae.
UCCCUGUGUUCAGAGAUUCGAAUCCGACGCCGAAGAGUGGCUUCUGUUCUCAAACUGUGCUGGAAGCUUCUGCAGCAGAGCCAGUCGAGCCUGAUCGCUGAAGUGGGCCCAGAUGCAGAGCAGCACCGAGAGGCCCUGCAGCUGUUGUCAAUCAACCUGGAGAGAAGGUGGGAGGCAAUAGUGAUGCAGACAGUGCAAUGGCAGAACAGACUGAAGAGAGAGCUGGGAGAGCAGCAGGUUAAUGGAGCCAUUCUGGAAACAGACUUAGAGGAUCUCCACCAGAUUAGCCCAGUGUCAGUGGGUUCUGUGGCAAUGACACUGGAUGACUCCUGGGAAUGGGAUGAAACAGAUAAGACAGUUAUGGAAGCAGAACAUGUACCACAACCUGACCUUACAACUGACCUCCCCACCACCACACAAUCAAAUCUGCCCUCAAACAGUGCUUUGUCCAGUGAAAAUCAACCUCUGGAUAUUCAUACUGAUAUCAAAGCCACUCAGUCAAAAGGGAGAUCUCAAUCAAAGGGUGGAUCCUCUUUGGAUGUGCAGCACAGCAUAACUGCUGAUGCCCUCCCAAACAAUAACAUAUAUCAAGUGUACAGCCUCCACAGCAUUGAAUUAUGCAAGCAGCCAAUGUUUCCCCUUACUUCCACAUUAAAACACAUAAAUAAACCUGUCAAUAAUAAAAGACAUUUGUUGCUGAUGAACAUUAAUGACGAUUCCUCAUUGUCCUUUGUUAAAUCCCCCCCAGACCUCCUGGGAGGUUUGAUGUCAAAUAGCCAACAACAGGAAAGAAGCAGUGAAUUUUGGAAUAAGGAAAGUGAGGGUGGCAGAAGAAGCGGGGAAUCAGAAAAUAGUCUACAAUCAGAUUCAGAGAGUGGGAUUGUAAGUGACAAUGGAGAUUCAGAAGCAUCAACAAAUUCUGCAAUACAAGGAAAGAACGAGGAUCAGGCGGUAGGAAAAAAGGAAAAAAGAGACUGGAGAAAUGAUGAAGCUCCACAAGAAAAUCAUCCUUUAAGUCUGGAAAAGAACAGAAUUACUCAGUAUGAAAGAAGUAAGAUGGACAUUUCUAAGAAUUUUGAUGGAUUUAAAAGGAAUGAUCUUAGAGGUGAGACCAAAGGAAACAAAGAGGAAGAGGACAAGAGGUACAAAGAGGGAGGAGCAGAGGCUGUUGAAAUCCUAAUAAAUGGACACGGGCUCAAUGACUCCUCCAAGGUUUUUAUGUCCCUGACUGAAAACAAUGAUUUUCACUUUGACCACUGUAAUCAUGUUGAUACUACCCCUGCUCUCAAUAGUAGGAUAUCAAGUCCAGUUUUGUCUCAGAGCUCUUCUUUGGAGUCUCUAUUGACUCUAGGUAUGGAGUUAUUCCCCUCCAAAGAUUAUCUGCAUCAUAGUGUCUCUCUGGAGAGCUGUCUUAAUCAAUGCCACAGCCCUGACAUAGAGGUGGUAGACAGGCUUUUCAGUCCCAAUGAGCUGAAACAUGUCCUGGAGAAAGACAGUGAUAUAGUUGAACCAAGAACAGGCAUAAAUACUGGAACUGAGACAUCUGCUGAAGACCUUAGCCAAAGAACCCUUGAUCUCCUGAAACGUUUGGAGAACAUUCAGAAUCCUUUGGUCGUGAAGAUGACACGCAGUGUUUCUGACAUGUCAAUUCAAAGUAGCACUCCACAGAAGAACCAAUUCCCUGUUUCACCCUCUUUAGGUCGUGAACACAUCUUACAAUCUGGCAUUUCUAGCACUUCAUGGGAAGAACAGCCAUCAGUGGUCAAUGAAACAUUAUCAAAAGUAUCACUAACUGGGCUGAGUAGCACAGAAGACUCAUCUCUGGGGUCUGAGGAUUUCAUCAUGUUCAGAAAUCAGCAUCACCUAUCUCAACAUCUAAACAUGGUGGCCAGUUCCAACUCCAGCUCUCAUAGGCAACAUUGCCACAAUAGCACCAGGGGCGGGAAAUGUGUAGAUGGGUCAGAUGGUUUAAGCAUGUUGGUAAACGUUUCAUGUACUUCAGCAUGCACAGACGUAGAUGGAUAUGACAGUGAUCUGCUUUCGUCUUCCACACCGACGCUCACUGAAGAGGAACUUGGUGUUCGGGAUGAACAGGAUGGGGAUGACAAGAGGAUUAACGGUGUAUCCUCCAGCAAUGAGGAAGAUGAGGACAAUAAUGAUGAUGUCAUGGAGACCUCCUAUGAGCUCGGGCUUGAGUAUAUGAAGAGGAAGUUAGAAAGUUGGAUAAGAACUCCUCGUACCUCUGCGUCCUCCUCAUUCAAAACAGAGGCAGGGCUUUUGGAUGAGUUACAGUGUGGAAGUACGCCAUCUUCCAGCUUCCCACAUUCAACUACACAAUUAAUAAAAACCAAGAAAAAUGCUUACAACAAUACAACCAGAGGACAGGACCAAGAAGACGAGAACAGAAGGAAUGUGACAAGAAGCUAUAUCAGCCAAUUUGUUGAUGAUAUAGAGAAUGGAAAUGUAGAUCACAACUGUUUACAAGGAAAAUAUGAAGAUGAUGACCUUCUCCAGGAAGAGUCUGGCCUGUUCACUAAGAAAGAGGAUACUUUAAGGGAGUUGUAUGUGAAUGUCAAAACAGAAGAGCCGGUUCAAGAUGUUGGGAAAUUGAGACCUCAAAUGGAUUUAAGUUCUACAAUAUAUAUAUGCUCAUCACCAUCAAGUAAGCUGUACCCCUUCUCUUCUAAGCAUUCUUCCUGUUUGGUGGACGAGCUGAGGGGGGAGCUUCCCUGCCACAGCACCUCCAGUCCUACAACUCCUUUGCUGUCUCCAGAUGACUGCAGAUCCCACAGUGCAUUGGACAACAGCCUAUUGAUUGCUGAAGGACGGAAAGCCAUCAAAAUUAAAGAGAAGUUUAAGUUCUCAUCAUUGGUGACAGAGGAAACAAGGAGGGAAGUCAGAGCAAAAGAUCCAACUCUGCCUUCCAAAGUUGGCCACAAAUCCUAUUCCCCUUGCAAUGUAGGAGUCUUGUUGCCCCAUCCACAAACUAUAGAUGAAUGCAAGAAAGAGAAUGUUAAUGCCUUUGUAACGGACAUUAUGGACAUGGCCUCUGUGGCACUGAAAAACAAAAAGAACCAGUCAGUUGGACCAAACCAACGGGAGACCAGUGGGUCUGUCCAUGACCAAUCCUCUACAGCAUGCAUCCAAGAUAAGGUGCUCGAACACUCCCACAGGCCUCUCCAUCUUGAGAAGGGAGACUUUUACUCCUACCUGUCUCUCUCUUCCCAUGACAGCGACUGUGGUGAGGUUAGUCAGCGUGCUGAGGACAAGAACUUGACCCCUGUGCCCUAUAGCAUCCCAUCCCAUGUCAUAUCGACACAAGCUCUAAACAGUCAAAGCUCCGAGCUAUUUCCCAGCACCAAACAGCCAAUAUCUGCCUUUCAGUCAGCUUUGUUGACCAAAUGCUUUUCACCCAGCCAGAAUACUAUGAAUAACAUUGCCUGUCUGGAUUUUAAGUGUUUUGAACGUGAAGCUACCAGUCUCACCGAUGGAAGCCAAGCAGAGGACUCCUCUAGCCCAUCUCUGCCUGUACGUCCAAGUCCUGACAUUAGGAAUGAGGAGGUACUGAUUGAAUCCUGUACAGAGGAGGUUUACCUAGGCCCACCUCUUUGCUACAGCAUGGUGAUUAGAAAGAAACCUCAACCAUUCCAGCAUAAACUGUGUUUGGAUACCUCAUUGGUUAGUGGCUGUCAGCUAAGUAUUAAUGCACCUUGUUCGUCUCAAGAGGGGCCAAAUUCAGAUGUAAAUAAUAGGAUGACUGACCAUUCUUUCUCAGAACAAAGCUCUGGUCGCACAACGAAAACACAGAACUUCUUUCCUCCUGUUCCCAAACCUUGCUGCAGCUCAUUUCCUACAUCUUCAGUCUUGAGAAGCAGCUCUAGCUCUUCAGGUAACAUUUUUUUUCCUCAUCCACCUGUGUCCACUAAUGCAAAAGAAGGAAAGCUCAGUGAAGACCUGUACCUCUCCUCUGAUGGUGUUGGAGGGAAAGUCGCGACUGCUGUGAGUGUCAGCAUGCUGCAGGAGGAGAGAAGUUGUAAUGAGGGGGCUUCUUAUCUUAAUCCCUGGGUACGUGUUGCCCUUAUAGACUCCAUCGCCACAGAAUGUUUGGCAGAUACUAAAACGCUUGAAUCCAAUAUGGGCACCGUAACGACCAAGAUAAGUGUCUGCAGCACUGCUACAAAUCACACAAAAGAGCCAGCCACCACCGCUACGUGUAUUAAUCCCAAAAUUAACUGCUCAGCAAUGAGAACGCUUGAUAGGGAGGAAGGGAAGAGGUGCAGAGAGGCAAAUACUCAAUGGGCAGAAGAGGAGGAGGAGGAGGAGAAGAGAAAGGGGAGGACCAGUUUGCAACAAGAAGCAAAGUCUGUCAUGGUGAAACAGGAAGGCUUUUGGCCAGUUUUGAGUCGGGCCGCUGGAGAAAGACAAGAUGGAGCAAACCUACAGUGAGGACCCCACCUUUCGGAUGACAGCAAUCAAAAGGCAGGAAAAGGAUUAAACACAAUGGGGAAUGCGGUAAUCCGGAAUAGGGAGCGCUGGAACGGGGACGCGGAGCGGGAGGAUUAACCCAGGUGACCAGGGAGCGACUGACUAAAGAGACCCAGAGGAGGAAGGCACCGACCGGCGAACACCCAGCCGCGGAGUUGAGGAUGAGCCGCAGUGGCAGCGUCUGGGAGGGGAGGAUUGGUCGCGGACUCAGUAUGGCUGAAGAUCAGCAAGAGACCAUCUGCGUUGGGUGGAAGAAUUUCCAGGAUCCAGCACUAAGGAGGUGUCUCUAUCCACUCACCCCUGUCUCAGCGUGUUCUGAGUCUCAUCUCCCUAUUGCAGCCUUUCACCUGUGUGAUCUUCGUCUCUGAACUGUUGUCUUGAAGUUUGUCAUUACCCCGAUGAGUCAAUUAAUUUGUGAUUUGAAGCUGUUUUAAAGCGUUUUCCUGGGGAUAUUUCAAGGUUUACCGAGGUCUUGCUUGAAUGUAGAAUUUAAAUGCAUGUAUACGUAGUAAAAGGUAAUGUGAUCUAUAAAGGGUUUAAGUCAGUGGUCUCAAACUCAAAUCCUCAAUGGCCAGUGUUCUGCAAUUUUUAGAUGUGUCCUUUGCCCCACACAUCUGAAUCAAAUAGCUAACGUACCCCACUAGCAUGCAGUCAAGCUUUGCAGAGUUCUGCUAAUUAGGUCAUAUUAAGCUGUGUGCCAGAAUCUGUAGGAUGAGUUUUCGUAUAAACUGUCAGGGGUCUUGGUGAUAUCAGAGUAAAUUGGGCAAAAGUCUGGGCUAUUUCUGCCCUGCGAUGGACUGGUGACCUGUCCAG